UACGUAGGGUGCAAGCGUUGUCCGGAAUUAUUGGGCGUAAAGAGCUCGUAGGCGGUUUGUCACGUCGGCCGUGAAAACUCGGGGCUCAACCCCGAGCCUGCGGUCGAUACGGGCAGACUAGAGUGCUGUAGGGGAGACUGGAAUUCCUGGUGUAGCGGUGAAAUGCGUAGAUAUCGUAAGGAAGACCAGUGGCGAAGGCGGGUCUCUGGACAGUUCCUGACGCUGAGGCACGAAGGUCAGGGGAGCAAACGGG
This 253-nucleotide ribosomal RNA is filed under the name uncultured bacterium. RNAcentral describes it as "partial 16S ribosomal RNA". It matches the Rfam family "Bacterial small subunit ribosomal RNA", at positions 524 to 776 of the family's 1533-position model. The record is from RNAcentral.